CCUCGGGAGGCAGCAGUGGGGAGUCUUGCACAAUGGAGGAAACUCUGAUGCAGCGAUGCCGCGUGAGUGAAGAAGGCCUUUGGGUUGUAAAGCUCUUUCGUCGGGGAAGAAAAUGACUGUACCCGAAUAAGAAGGUCCGGCUAACUUCGUGCCAGCAGCCGCGGUAAUACGAAGGGACCUAGCGUAGUUCGGAAUUACUGGGCUUAAAGAGUUCGUAGGUGGUUGAAAAAGUUAGUGGUGAAAUCCCAGAGCUUAACUCUGGAACUGCCAUUAAAACUUUUCAGCUAGAGUAUAAUAGAGGAAAGCAGAAUUUCUAGUGUAGAGGUGAAAUUCGUAGAUAUUAGAAAGAAUACCAAUUGCGAAGGCAGCUUUCUGGAUCAUUACUGACACUGAGGAACGAAAGCAUGGGUAGCGAAGAGGAUUAGAUACCCUCGUAGUCCAUGCCGUAAACGAUGUGUGUUAGACGUUGGAAAUUUAUUUUCAGUGUCGCAGCGAAAGCGAUAAACACACCGCCUGGGGAGUACGACCGCAAGGUUAAAACUCAAAUGAAUUGACGG
RNAcentral lists this ribosomal RNA (557 nucleotides) under uncultured bacterium. RNAcentral describes it as "bacterial SSU rRNA". It matches the Rfam family "Bacterial small subunit ribosomal RNA", at positions 339 to 916 of the family's 1533-position model. The record is from RNAcentral.